RNAcentral lists this ribosomal RNA (461 nucleotides) under uncultured bacterium. RNAcentral describes it as "bacterial SSU rRNA". It matches the Rfam family "Bacterial small subunit ribosomal RNA", at positions 28 to 507 of the family's 1533-position model. The record is from RNAcentral.
GAUGAACGCUGGCGGCGUGCCUAAUACAUGCAAGUCGAACGGAGAAUGUAGCAAUACGUUCUUAGUGGCGAACGGGUGAGUAACGCGUUGGUGACCUGCCCCGAAGUGUGGGAUAACAGUCCGAAAGGAUUGCUAAUACCGCAUGUGAUCCCCGGAAUUAGAAACCGGUGAUUAAAGGAGUAAUUCGCUUUGGGAGGGACCUGCGUCCCAUCAGCUAGUUGGUAAGGUAACGGCCUACCAAGGCUAUGACGGGUAGGGGACCUGAGAGGGUGGACCCCCACAAUGGCACUGAAACACGGGCCAUACACCUACGGGUGGCAGCAGUAGGGAAUAUUGGUUAAUCUACGAAAGUGGGAACCAGCAACGCCGCGUGUGCGAUGAAGGCCUUCGGGUUGUAAAGUGCUUUUAAGGGAGAUGAGAAAGGACAGUAUCCCUUGAAUAAGCCUCCGGCGAACUACGUG